GAUGAACGCUGGCGGCGUGCUUAACACAUGCAAGUCGAACGAAGCACUUUAUUUGAUUUCCUUCGGGACUGAUUAUUUUGUGACUGAGUGGCGGACGGGUGAGUAACGCGUGGGUAACCUGCCUUGUACAGGGGGAUAACAGUUGGAAACGGCUGCUAAUACCGCAUAAGCGCACGGCAUCGCAUGAUGCAGUGUGAAAAACUCCGGUGGUAUAAGAUGGACCCGCGUUGGAUUAGCUAGUUGGUGAGGUAACGGCCCACCAAGGCGACGAUCCAUAGCCGACCUGAGAGGGUGACCGGCCACAUUGGGACUGAGACACGGCCCAAACUCCUACGGGAGGCAGCAGUGGGGAAUAUUGCACAAUGGGCGAAAGCCUGAUGCAGCGACGCCGCGUGAGCGAAGAAGUAUUUCGGUAUGUAAAGCUCUAUCAGCAGGGAAGAUAAUGACGGUAACUGACUAAGAAGCACCGGCUAAAUACGUG
Molecule: ribosomal RNA, 481 nt
Filed under: uncultured bacterium
Lineage: Bacteria
Description: partial 16S ribosomal RNA
Rfam family: Bacterial small subunit ribosomal RNA
Source: RNAcentral